UUUGUCAGUGAGUUUAUUAUUCUUAUUGCUCUUCUAGUUUAUGAGUUUCUUUGAGUAUUUUGAUCUAGUGCACCAGGUUAGAAUAUAGUUCAUAGUGUAAGCAUGGUGCUUAGGCUCGGAUUACUCAUAGAUGCGCCCUAUAUUCUAGAUCGAUGGUAGAUUGUGAGGAUGACUUUAUAGCCUUGUUGAGUUGUCUAUGGUCCACCUCCUGUUUAUAGGCCUAGCAAGAGAUCUUUGUUACGUGGUAGAUUAAUACUCUAUUUGUGAUCUUACAUAGUAAUUCCCUAGCAGAUCAAUAAUUGCAAAACUCACUAAAAGUAGAACUAGACAACCCUAGUUUUCUCCCUCAACCUUUUAGCGUCUCAUCCUUGACUAUGCUUAGGGAUUAAGCCAAGAUCAAGAUCCCUCCAUCUGUUUCUUUAGGUUUGAUAUUAAAACAGAGUCAUCCCGAUGAAGUGCUACAUCGGUAUCUUAUAUGUGCACUUGUGGAUAAACUUAGUGUGCAUUAAUAAUUACCAACAAGCAUUUCUAGCAUUAUUGUCAGGGAACAGUUGGUAGCUGAUCUCGAGUCUAGCUUAAUAUUGUAUUAUACUUUUAUCUAAGUCUAGAUAGUUGACAAAUAUGAUAUGGGAAAGUUUUGAGCUGUUGUCUAUCUUGUUCCUAGAGAUGCCAGAGUUCUGGAGAAUUUAUUUUUGAAAUCCUAAAUUGUUGCAUGAUGAGUUCCUAUAUAACGAGGUUCAAAAUUCCUACCACAGUCAUAUAUACAUGCUUACUAGGUUAGGAAAGGCUCCCAUUUAUAUAUUUAUAUCACUCUAUAGGCAUUGAGGGUAGCUAAGCUGUGUUGACCCUUAGGAAUUAUUCAUGCGGUUAAAGUCAAUACUAUGUGCUCUCCAUCCAUUGAUCUAUGCUACUUAUAUCCUCAGAAGCAUGCGCUCACUUACAUUCACUAUGCUACAUUCACUUUGUGCCACUUUUAUUCCCGGAAGUACCACCCACAUAUACACACAUCACACCAUGUGUUGUUUCUAUCCUAGAGACACGCACCCAUGCUCCUACCCUGGGAGUAUGCAUCCAUCCAUCCACAUACAUAUACGCCAUUCAUUCUGAUCCAUUCACAAAAUGUUCUACUCCUACACUGGGAGUAAACAUCCAAAAAUAUUUGUCGCCAUUUUAUACUUUUCUAUUAAAGCUCCAGUUAUUUUAGUUGAUAAUCCCUGUUGCUAUAGUUUCAUUCAAUGGGUUUGGUUGCUUUAAAAAAAGAAAGAAAAAGAAAUAAAGAAAUAAAGAAAUAAAGAAAGAAAGAAGAAAGAGGAUGAAAGCAUCUAGGCCCCUAGUGAGUUUUGGUGAUUAAUGACAAUGUUGAUUACUAUGACUAAUGUGUGUUUAGUAGCAGAAAAUCAUUUGAGUUAGGUCAUGGUUAUGGUGAUCAAUGGACUAGUAUGUUUGUGCCUACUUGAUGGUGGAAAUCGUUUUAGUUUUCAAAGGAUUAUUGGACAUCGUCAGGACUAGACUAGGUCUAAGUACCAUUUGGUGUUGAAUGGUGCUUAGAGUAGUUUAGGACUUUGUUUUUCCUUUAAUCAUACUAUUAAGGAGGGAAACGAAUGGGUAGUUUGACCUAGACAAGGCUUUAGGUUUAGGUGUGGUGCACACUUAAUAAAUCUAGCACUAGGUAGCUCAGAGAAAGUCCUUAGAUCGAGAGGAUCAAACUUCAUUUUGGAAAGUUCAUGAUUUGAUGAAAUCUUGAUCGAGUAGAGACAACAGACGCUAGCAUGAGCCGCUACAGUGCGACUGUUGAAGUGUCUAGUGUAUAUAGGAGUUCAGCUAGCGUGCCAAGUGUCUAGGGUUAGGCACUAGACGCGUAUGUUAACCGUUGAUAACGUCAACUUUUAUUAGAACUUUAGACUCAAAGGAAAAUAUGAAAACAUAUUAGUCUAGGGUUUAAACUGACAAUUUCCACGAGUUUUGCAUAUUCUAUGGUUUUUAGGGAUUAUUUCAGAAAGUGCUAAAAAGAGAGAUUUAAGUGCCAAUUAACCACCAAAUUUAUCCGCGAUGGAAGGAGGACACCAGAGGGAUUAGAAAGACUCCAGAAGACUCUCGGAGCAAGGGGACCGGCAUAAACCACCAGGUGGGGCUGGCUGGCCCCACCAUGGCGCCGCCCGACCCCUGUGGCUAGGGUUUGGCCUCUCCUUCUAGAAGCUUCCUCCACUACCUCUUAUGAGUCAUCUUGGCCGCUUGUUAAGUCAGUUUGAUUCAACGGCGCGUGUGCACUCCACUAGGCUAUAAAUAGAGGGCAGACCCCCUCCUGGAGACACCCCC
Molecule: long non-coding RNA, 2316 nt
Filed under: Sorghum bicolor (sorghum)
Lineage: Eukaryota; Viridiplantae; Streptophyta; Magnoliopsida; Poales; Poaceae
Description: long non-coding RNA (SBIC_LNC004812)
Source: RNAcentral